CAAUAGCGUAUAUUAAAGUUGUUGCGGUUAAAAAGCUCGUAGUUGGAUUUCUGCUGAGAACGACCGGUCCGCCCUCUGGGUGUGUAUCUGGCUCUUUCUUGGCAUCUUCUUGGUGAACGUUGCUGCACUUGACUGUGUGGAGCGCUACCCAGGACUUUUACUUUGAGGAAAUUAGAGUGUUUCAAGCAGGCAUACGCCUUGAAUACAUUAGCAUGGAAUAAUAAGAUAGGACCUCGGUUCUAUUUUGUUGGUUUCUAGAGCUGAGGUAAUGAUUAAUAGGGAUAGUUGGGGGCAUUCGUAUUCAACUGUCAGAGGUGAAAUUCUUGGAUUUGUUAAAGACGGACUACUGCGAANGNAUUUGCNAAGGAUGUUUNCAUUG
RNAcentral lists this ribosomal RNA (379 nucleotides) under uncultured eukaryote. RNAcentral describes it as "partial 18S ribosomal RNA". It matches the Rfam family "Eukaryotic small subunit ribosomal RNA", at positions 592 to 975 of the family's 1831-position model. The record is from RNAcentral.